This 495-nucleotide ribosomal RNA is filed under the name uncultured bacterium. RNAcentral's name for it is "partial 16S ribosomal RNA". It matches the Rfam family "Bacterial small subunit ribosomal RNA", at positions 28 to 507 of the family's 1533-position model. The record is from RNAcentral.
GACGAACGCUGGCGGCGUGCCUAAUACAUGCAAGUAGAACGCUGAAGGAGGAGCUUGCUUCUCUGGAUGAGUUGCGAACGGGUGAGUAACGCGUAGGUAACCUGCCUGGUAGCGGGGGAUAACUAUUGGAAACGAUAGCUAAUACCGCAUAAUAGUAGAUGUUGCAUGACAUUUGCUUAAAAGGUGCAAUUGCAUCACUACCAGAUGGACCUGCGUUGUAUUAGCUAGUUGGUGGGGUAACGGCUCACCAAGGCGACGAUACAUAGCCGACCUGAGAGGGUGAGCGGCCACACUGGGACUGAGACACGGCCCAGACUCCUACGGGAGGCAGCAGGAGGGAAUCGUCGGCAAUGGACGGAAGUCUGACCGAGCAACGCCGCGGGAGUGAAGAAGGUUUUCGGAUCGUAAAGCUCUGUUGUAAGAGAAGAACGAGUGUGAGAGUGGAAAGUUCACACUGUGACGGUAUCUUACCAGAAAGGGACGGCUAACUACGUG